GGACCUUGGGGGGACCACAUCACCCAUCGGCUAGAUAACAAGAUAGAAGGGAUACACAACCACCUGUCAAAAAAAGUCACCGUGGGCUGAUAGCUCACACCUAUAAUCCCAGCACUCUGGGAGGC
Long non-coding RNA from Sapajus apella (tufted capuchin), 125 nucleotides. RefSeq lists it as uncharacterized. The transcript is spliced from 3 exons. The record is from RefSeq and is a predicted model, not a curated record. Lineage: Eukaryota; Metazoa; Chordata; Mammalia; Primates; Cebidae.